UACGGAGGGUGCGAGCGUUGUCCGGAAUCACUGGGCGUAAAGGGCGCGUAGGCGGCCCUGGCAGUCGGUGGUGAAAUCCCGGGGCUCAACCCCGGAACUGCCUUUGAUACUGGGUAUCUCGAGUCCGGAAGAGGUGAGUGGAAUUCCGAGUGUAGAGGUGAAAUUCGUAGAUAUUCGGAGGAACACCAGUGGCGAAGGCGGCUCACUGGUCCGGUACUGACGCUGAGGUGCGAAAGCGUGGGGAGCAAACAGG
This 253-nucleotide ribosomal RNA is filed under the name uncultured bacterium. RNAcentral describes it as "partial 16S ribosomal RNA". It matches the Rfam family "Bacterial small subunit ribosomal RNA", at positions 524 to 776 of the family's 1533-position model. The record is from RNAcentral.